Molecule: ribosomal RNA, 372 nt
Filed under: uncultured organism
Description: bacterial SSU rRNA
Rfam family: Bacterial small subunit ribosomal RNA
Source: RNAcentral
CGUAGGGGGCGAGCGUUGUCCGGAUUUAUAGGGCGUAAAGAGCGUGUAGGCUGUUCGGUAAGUCUGCCGUGAAAACCUGAGGCUCAACCUCGGGCGUGCGGUGGAUACUGCCGGGCUAGAGGACGGUAGAGGCGAGUGGAAUUCCUGGUGUAGCGGUGAAAUGCGCAGAUAUCGGGAGGAACACCAGUAGCGAAGGCGGCUCGCUGGGCCGUUCCUGACGCUGAGACGCGAAAGCUAGGGGAGCGAACAGGAUUAGAUACCCUGGUAGUCCUAGCCGUAAACGAUGGACACUAGGUGUGGGGGGAGUCGAAUCCCUCCGUGCCGCAGCCAACGCGUUAAGUGUCCCGCCUGGGGAGUACGGCCGCAAGGCUA